This 867-nucleotide ribosomal RNA is filed under the name uncultured Neocallimastigales. RNAcentral describes it as "partial large subunit ribosomal RNA". It matches the Rfam family "Eukaryotic large subunit ribosomal RNA", at positions 22 to 646 of the family's 3401-position model. The record is from RNAcentral. Lineage: Eukaryota; Fungi; Neocallimastigomycota; Neocallimastigomycetes; Neocallimastigales.
UAGAUGCGAGAGUAGAGCAUAUCAAUAAGCGGAGGAAAAGAAACUAACUAGGAUUCCCUUAGUAACGGCGAGUGAAGCGGGAAGAGCUCAAAUUUGAAAUCUUCAAGGUUUUACCUUGACGAAUUGUAGUUUAAAGAAGUGUUUUCUGUUGAAGUUUUGGUAAAAGUUCUUUGGAAUAGGACAUCAUAGAGGGUGAGAAUCCCGUAUUUGGACUCAUUCUUUCUAGCGUUGUGAUACACUUUCAAAGAGUCGGAUUGUUUGGGAAUGCAGUCCAAAAUGGGUGGUAAAUUUCAUCUAAAGCUAAAUAUUGGCGAGAGACCGAUAGCGAACAAGUACCGUGAGGGAAAGAUGAAAAGAACUUUGAAAAGAGAGUUAAACAGUACGUGAAAUUGUCAAAAGGGAAGCGUUUGACACCAGUGUUGUUUUUCCGAAAAUCAAUUACGAAUGUUUUAGUUUUUGAGGAGUUAUGACUUCAUCGGCUUGCUCCUUUCUUUAUGAAACUUUCUUAAUGCACUUUUCGGUUAACAAGUCAACAUCAAUUUCUUUUGUUGUAAAAGAGUAUAGGGAAGGUGGCUUUCUUUUCGGAGAAAGUGUUUAUAGCCCUGUACUUCUGCAAUCGGAGAGAUUGAGGUCUGCAGCGUAGAUCCUUCGGGGUUAGAUACACUUGUGCUAAGUUAUAGCUUUUCAUAGACAACUUGUUGAUUAUGUUAAGUCUUGUAGCUUACUCGCUUGUGCUAUUUUACCUACGCUUAGGAUGUUGACGAGACUGUCGAUCUCAUCUAUACAUGACUCUGUGCAUAUCAAUAAGCGGAGGAAAAGCAUAACAUGUAUACCUACGCUUAGGAUGUUGACGAGACUGUCGAUCUC